ACCCGUGGCGGCGGGGAUAAAUAGCCAGUUAAGCCGCCAGCGCCCCGGCCUUGUGCCGGGAGUCUGG
RNAcentral lists this ribozyme (67 nucleotides) under unclassified sequences. Its description in RNAcentral is "pistol ribozyme". It matches the Rfam family "Pistol ribozyme". The record is from RNAcentral.